RNAcentral lists this long non-coding RNA (1270 nucleotides) under Nicotiana tabacum (common tobacco). RNAcentral describes it as "long non-coding RNA (NTAB_LNC001664)". Lineage: Eukaryota; Viridiplantae; Streptophyta; Magnoliopsida; Solanales; Solanaceae. The record is from RNAcentral.
CAUCAAGACAUAUGUAUAUACGUGUAGAAUACAGUGGGCAAGCCGGCAAGGCUGCUAUAGACAAUUAUACAUCCAAAACUGAAAGCCGACAUGGCCACAUACAACCCAACUAGACAUACUGUCUACAACACUCUAACAGAAACAUAACUCUACAAAGACGGGACUGAGCCACAUCAUACCGAUAUACAUUAAUAUGUACAAACGUAUCGUACCAAAAUCAAAAGCAGCUCCAGAUCAAAUGGAGCACGCCAACUCUCGCUGAUCAGGGAUCCUAAGAAUGGGGGCCGUCAGCUUGCCUACCAACACCUGCGGGCAUGAAACGCAGGCCCCUUGAAAUAGGGCGUCAGUACAAAAAAUGAACUGAGUAUGUAAGACAUGGAAAUUAGUACGUAAAAGACAUAGAUGAAAUAUGGAAUACUGAAGCACAUCUUUAAAUCUGAAUAACUUUGUAAAUUCUGAAACGUUUAUAACGUCAUGCACGUGUGUGUAAAUGUCAUGCCAUGCAUAGGUAUGGGUGUACAUAAUAUCAUCAAGCCACUAAGAGCAUCCCAUCAUAUCAUCUCGGCCACUGUGGGCAAUAUCAUCAACAUAUACCAGCUGAUCAGGUGGUGGUGCGUAUAUGACGUCGUAACCUCUUCCCAUAUCCCAUAUACAUACAUAUAUACACGUAUAUUAUGCCAUUUGAAUCAUAUUUCAGCCACUGUGGGCAACAUCAUCAUCAUAUACCAGCUGAUCAGGUGGUGGUGAGUGAAAUGCAUGAAAAAUACAUAAUAAUCUCGAUAUUUUUUCUUGAUAAACUUUUCCAACUGCGUAUUAUUCUGAGACCCAUGAACAGGAGAUAAUAAUAAUUCUCAUGGGGAAUCAAGAAUAUAGACACCCCUAUUAUUUCUAUGAAUAGAGUAAUUUAUAGAAACUGUGUAUUUGCUCCUACCUUUCGUAUAAUCUGGACCAUGCCAAAAGAAAGAAAGAAGGACUUUAACAUACCUGUCUCUUGAAUUAUUUGAACAAAAUUUGCCUCUGCUCCUUAAAAAUUCAUGGACGAAAGCUUGUUUCUAGAUCUUAAAAAAUUUGGAACGAAAUAUAAUAACUUUCUUUCCUUGAGAUUUUGACAGAAAACAUUUCUGUUUCUUGCUUUUUGAACUAAAGAAUGGUUGUAAACCAACACUUGACUCCAACGUUUUUUGAAUCUUUGUUGAAGCUUCUGUUUUUAAGUUAUUGAUUUCAAUUCAAAGAAUGAAUUGAAGCUUCUGAUUCUCGUUUUCCUUCUUUC